UGCUUUCUCUGUACUGUCUAUUCUCAC
Molecule: non-coding RNA, 27 nt
Filed under: Mus musculus (house mouse)
Lineage: Eukaryota; Metazoa; Chordata; Mammalia; Rodentia; Muridae
Source: RNAcentral